Molecule: ribosomal RNA, 381 nt
Filed under: uncultured bacterium
Lineage: Bacteria
Also listed under: 1 other name
Description: bacterial SSU rRNA
Rfam family: Archaeal small subunit ribosomal RNA
Source: RNAcentral
AUACCGGCAGCCCAAGUGAUGACCGAUUUUAUUGGGCCUAAAGCGUCCGUAGCCGGCCACGAAGGUCCAUCAGGAAAUCCGCCAGCUCAACUGGCGGGCGUCCGGUGGAAACCACGUGGCUUGGGAUCGGAAGGCUCGAGGGGUACGUCCGGGGUAGGAGUGAAAUCCUGUAAUCCUGGACGGACCACCGAUGGCGAAAGCACCUCGAGAAGACGAAUCCGACGGUGAGGGACGAAAGCUAGGGUCUCGAACCGGAUUAGAUACCCGGGUAGUCCUAGCCGUAAACGAUGCUCGCUAGGUGUGGCACAGGCUACGCGCCUGUGCUGUGCCGUAGGGAAGCCGAGAAGCGAGCCGCCUGGGAAGUACGUCCGCAAGGAUGAA